Long non-coding RNA from Ostrea edulis (European flat oyster), 6014 nucleotides. RefSeq lists it as uncharacterized. The record is from RefSeq and is a predicted model, not a curated record. The transcript is spliced from 3 exons. NCBI's taxonomy places the organism in Eukaryota, Metazoa, Mollusca, Bivalvia, Ostreida, Ostreidae.
AAACUGUAUUGUCUGUCGAGAUGCAUUAAUUACAGAAUUUACGCAGGAGCAAUUCUAUGUACACUCAUGUAUCAUAUAUAAACUGUAUUGUCUGUUGAGAUACAUUAAUUACAGUCUUUACGCAGGAGCAGCUCUAUGUUCAGUCGAUGAGACUACAGUUGCGUCGGGAAUUGUAAACUAAGCAAUAACGGCCCUCUCGGGCAUACAGCAUACAUGAUGUUAAAUAGGACUCCAAAGUGCGAAGGUCACGCCAAAGUCACGGUGCGAUGGUCCACACUCAUACGCCAAAGUGCGAUGGUCUGACACGCCAAAGUGUGAUGGUGUGAGACGAAUGCGCCAUAGUGCGAUGAUCUGACACGCCGACGUCCGAUGCUUUGUAAAGGACACAGUGUUUUGGUACAGAUUAAACCAACCGUGUGUUGUUUCACCAAAAUGUCAGUGCAAAAUCCAUGUACACACAAAAAAUAAGAAUAAGAACUUAUUUCACUACCAUUUAGUUGUCGUGUUAAUAAACACAAAAUUUUCCAACGCGACAUCGUAUAAAAUGGAAUUUAUUACGUGUACGUCAAAGUAAUAAAUGAUCAUGGAUUAAAGAAUAUUUGGGUGAAGUAGAUAGUUUGACAACAAAUGUACUUUGCCGUUCUCACUAUCCUCAACCGUGUAGACCAUCAACUGUCGUCCAUGUCAAUCUUAAUCUUCCGUGCUUUCCUCCAAUAUAUCCUGAAGAAGUUGGUGUCAUCACUGCAGUAUAAAGAACCUUCAUUGGGGCAAACUGACGAAGCGUUGCAAUACGCCGGUUACGCGAUACGUCCGAGUUAUUUCCCUUUGGAGAACUCUCAUGCUUAGUAAGGCGCAAAACAACUUGUUUACACGCGGUAGUGGGACAAAUCUUCAUCACUGCAUAAGUGAAUAUGCUCAAAAGACGUUAAGAAUGACGUCACAAACGUUACUGAACUCCGCACCAUGGGACUUUGGCGUGGCCAUCGCACUUUGGCGUCCGUAACGAUAACAAACCAUCGCACUUUGGCGCAGACCAUCGCACUUUGGCGUGAUCAUCGAUCGAACUUUGGAGUUACCAUUGCACUUUAGAGUCUUACAUAUGUAUUCUAAGUAUAUGUGUUUAUUCAGUUGACUGGAGUAGGCGAAAUUCUUUUUUAAUUCAUGAUUGUGAAGUCUCCAAAGAAAAACAAAAUCAGCUGCUUGCCAUAGACUUUCCUGCUCCUGUUUCCUUGGCUGAGGGACGACCAUUAGAUGAUGUUUUCACUUUUACUAGGGAAGUUACCCGAUUCCGCCCCUAUCCGGGAUUGAACUCACGACCUGCGGAACCAAAUCUCCUAGCAGCAUGUAACCAGCAAGUUUAACGAACCAGAAAUUCUUGCGCACCACUUCGUAAAAAUAGCCAAGGAAUUAAUAUAACGUAUCAAUGUAAAUGGAAAGAACGAGAUAUCUAAAUUUGUGAACAUCAUCUAGUCACUGCUCUUUACAUUGGCCACUCGUUCAAUAUGGAGCUCUGAAUUUUAUUUUUUCGCGUUAUAACGCGAAACUUUUGCUUAUAUAUGCGUAAUUUUCGCGUUAUAACGCGAAAUAUUCUACAUAAAUAUAGUUAUGUAAAAAAGGAACCCGUGAUUAGUACAAUGAACGAAGACUGACUUAUAUGCAUUCACAAGUUAUUAGUAUUAAAGAACACACGCUAACACGCCUACAUCUUACAUACGCAUAUUUCAGAAUGUUUAGCAAAUAUGCUAUUGAAGUUUUAAUGAAUGCAAAAUAGAAUUCAUAUUGAUAAUUGACUACUGUCAGUGUUACUGAUUAAGAACAGCUUUCAAUACGGGGGUAUAAUAUUUCGUCUGCUGAAAUCAAGCCUUAAAAUGUCACAGAAUAUUAAAAAACUAUUGUAUUACCGUAUGCUUAAUCUACAAUUUCUUUUGAUUGAUUUGAUAACUCGAAAACCCCACAGAAUGUCUCUAGAAAGCACUUGGGGACCUAAGUCAUUGUCUUCAAAUAAUUUCAAAUGAAUCCACACUUUUCAAAGAUUAUGUCCCUUGGCUGCCAUCUUUGGAUUCUCAUAGGAGCCUUUGUAACUGUUUUAUGAUUUUGCCAUUUGAUAUGCUUUUGAUUUGGUUUGAACAUAUUUUAUUGUCCAGAAAGACCUUUCCUAUAUCACAAGUAGUAACAUAAAUAAGUUCCAAAACUUAAGUACGGUACCGGUGGUAACAAAGGUCAAUAUAAGAUGAUCUGCUAACAUAAAACAGUCAAAUUGUAACCAAUUAUAAAUGCAUAUACAUGUAUACAAAACUACAAAGUAGAGCUGGACAAGUCCAGAAGCGUCGGCGUGUAUUAGAAAUAGGGGUGGCGAACUGGGUCGGGGAAAAAAAGGGGGGGGGGGUUAUAAAACGUGUUUUGACUUAAAGUUAAAUUUCCAUCAGAAACUUAUUAUUUUUCCCCACUCUGUCAAUAUCUUAAAGACAUCACUUGAAAAAAAAACCACGAAGUUGUUAUACUCGUAUAAACCAGAACUUUACAUGUACAUAUUAGAAUGUACUUGUUUAUUGUCAGAUCAUUCACUCCAAUGCAAAUUAAGUCUCAGAAAAUUGUUCAUUCAUUCAUUUAUAGAUUAAUAAGAAUAGAAUUAGAUUAAUAACUGUGUAUUGCAAGUUAAGACUUGCGACUUUGUUUUUAGCUGAAAUUGAGAACAAUUUUUAAAAUAAAAGAAAUAUUAUGUUCACAAAUAUCGCGUUUAGUGUAAUUAAUGUAUAUGAACCGAUGAUUUCAAUACAUGUAAAACAUUAAGAUUUGUUUUCUAUAUAGAAUAGAUGAAAAUAUAAUAUUUUGAUAUACAUGCAGUUACCUCAUCAUAAUGUAACUAUGCGUAUGGUUUAAACCUAGAGGGGUGAGACGGUGAUUUUAAUCUAAUUUUCAGUAUUUUCCUUUAAUUUAUAUACACUCAUAAUAUUCUUCUAAUAUUUAUCGAUAAUUGUUUAUUGACUCACGACGUUGAAUCACCCAAGCUUCCAAACAUCGAACAGAUGUUAGCAAACCUGCACGUACAACAAUGACGCAUAGUUACCCCGUUUAAACACGCCAGGUACAGGUACAUAUAUAAUUAUAUAACAUACAUGUACAUUCCAUUUGGCGUCUGUUGCCACAUUUCGCCGUUAUAUCACGGCCACCUGAUAUAGCUUACGUACACCCCCCUACACCCUCUCUUCUAUCCAAUGAAAAAUAAAUACAGAACCAAUAACUUAUCCGAAAUAUGUGAUUUCCCCACCGAUCACCUACAUGAUUCGUUUUGAAUAGCCAGUUUCUACUUUCUUUAAGUACGUCAGGGCCGUAAAUUAACCUUCAAUUUGGAGGAGGCAGGAAAUUAGGCGGGGGUCUGGGGGCCGCCCAGGCCCCUAGACGCUGAGCACAUUUUGUGCACACUGAACACGUUUCGUGCAAAAUCCUUGAUUCUAGGGCCUUCUAAGAUGUUACUUGACUAACUCAUUCUAAAAGAAAGAUUUGGAAUGCUUUUUAAGGGAGGUAUCAUGUUCUUAGUUAUUGGAAACAACAUAAAUUCUAAUGAACUUUAAAUUUUAAUUUUUUUUUGGCUCAAAAGUUGGAGGAGGCAGCUGCCUCCUCCGCCUCCAUGUAAUUUACGGCCCUGUACGUAACAAAUCAUGUAAACAAAUAGGGAUACCGGCUUCGAGACCGAUUCACGGGUUAUAAACCAACUUUACCGAAGGAAUUUCUGCGAAUAUCUCGUCAGGCUAAAGUAGUUUUAUCCAAAUCCCAUGUCAUCAGUUAACUUGCAUGAAAGAUUCCUGACAUGUUGCAGAUUCAAGUUUGUUCAAAUCAUGGCCACAGGGGGUAAGGUGGGGUCACAAUAGCGAAUAAGGUAUCAAAGUUUUACAUGUGAUAAUAUAGGGAAAAUCUUUAAAAAUCUUCCUCUUAAAAACCACUGGGCCAGAAAAGUUGAAACUUUUAUUAAAGCUUGCUGAUAUUUUGUUCAAAUCACUCCCACCCCACAGGGGGGUAGGGUGGGGCCACAAUAGGGGAUCAAAGUUUUACAUGCAAAUACAUAAGGAAAAUCUUUUUAAAAAACCACUGAGCCAGAGAAGUUCAAACGUAAACGAAAGCUUUCUGACAUAGUGCAGUUCAAAUCAUGCCCCCCCCCCUCCCACACCGGGUGUAAGAUGGGGUCACAAUGGGGAAUCAAAGUUUUACAGUGUGGAUCUUUAAAAAUCUUCUCAGGAACCAUUGGACCAAAAAACAAAAAAUGAAAUCUACACUUCAAGCUUCCUGACAUAGUGCAGAUUCAAUUUAAAAAAAAUGCAUGGCCCCUUGGGAUAGGAUGGGGCCACAAUAGGGGAUAAAAGUUUAACAUUCGAGUACAUGGGGGAAAUCUUUUUAAAAAUUCUUCUCAAAAACCACUGGGCCAGAAAAGUUCAUAUACACGAAAGCCUCCUGAUCCACGUUUGUGUAAUUCAUGGUCCCCGGGGGUAAGGUGCAGCCACAAUGGGGGAUCAAAGUGUAAUAUGCUGAUAAUAAUAUAUGAGAAAGAUCUUUUAACCAAGAUGUGUUUGUGAAACACAAAUGCCCCCGAUAAUGGCCAAUUCCAAAGAUGACCAAGAUCACAAGGACAAAUAUCUUGAUACCAGUAGAAAGACCUUGUCACAAGAAAUCCUCAUGUGCAAAUAUGAAAGCUCUAAUAUUGACCAUUUAGAAGUUAUUACCAAUGUCAAAUUUUUAAAAAGUAGAUGAAAUGCCAAGGUCAAAAGGUUUAGUACCCACGGAAAGGUCUUGUCACAAGGAAUACUCGUGAAAUAUCAAAGCUCUAGCACUUACUGUUCAAAUGUUAUAAACAAGGUUAAACUUUCAGACAGAAUGAGGGAAUGUCAGACAGGACAAAAACAAUACACCCCCCCACCCCCACCCCCGAUCUUCGACAUAAAAGUUUCUUGAACUAUUUAAGCUAGGGCUUUCAUAUUUUGUAUAUACAUAUUUUUUUUUACAGAAAGACCUUUCAUGUGAUGCAAUGAUAUGUGAUCUUGUGACCUAGACUUGGAAGUUUGACCUACUUUUAAUUAAAAAAAUUUACCUAUUUAUUAUCUCCUGAACUAUUCAAGAUAAAGCUUUCAUAUUUUUUUUAAAUAUACGAUUCUUAUUGCAAGGUCUUCAUAUCAUACCAUGAUCAAUGACCUUGUGACCAUGAUCUUAUCCAGAACAUAGUUAGCCAUAUUGCUGGUGAUGUAUCUCUUUGCAAUGUGAAUUAAUUUUCAGUUAUGUUGUGAUCCUCUAGGGCUAGGUUGGGGCCACAAUAUGGGGUCAAAAAUUUUCAUGGGAAUAAAGACUGAUAACAAAAAUCUUUUAAAAAUCACUACAGCUGAACAAUUAUGGCAGAGCCAAGGUGACUCAGGUGAGCAAUGUGACCCAUGGGCCUCUUGGUUGGGGGGGGGGGGGGGGUCGGGUUCUGAAACAUGUGGGUAAUGGUAUACAUCAAAGUCAUGCAGAUUAUGACAGACCAAAGACGUUAAGAAAAAAAAAAAGGGGGGGGGGCUGACUGGUGACGUCAUCCUUAUAUUUCUAUUGAAAGUUACAAAGUAUCCCCUCGACCGCGAUGUAUGGAAAGCAACUUCUGUUGUAUGAAAACACUAGCUGUUGUGUUGUACAUUUCAAGAAAAAUACAGGCGUAGGAAUUUAGCUACACUGUACAUUAAUGUACAAUUGUGGAUGUAGGUCGAUCGAAGUUUAAUGCCUUACCUAUAGCAGAAUGGGCAGGCAAUAAUCUUAUUUCCCUUUUAGGACCCUAAAUAUUACAUGCAAUCCAUACACGUGAAGUAAUGCGUGGUAUUUAGCCUAUAUAUCAAUGAGCUGCUAGGAUAUACAACUGAAAUCCAAACCCGAUCUAAAAUAGUAUUGAUUUUAUACACACACAAACACAUACUAACAGAAAACAUGCUCUCAGCAGGUGCUCCUUUCUCGUUUUGAUUUUUUUCUCAUUUGCGCAAUAAAGAUCUAUGUCUGUCCUUCUU